Molecule: non-coding RNA, 135 nt
Organism: Triticum aestivum (bread wheat)
Lineage: Eukaryota; Viridiplantae; Streptophyta; Magnoliopsida; Poales; Poaceae
Source: Rfam
UACGUACUCCUUCCGUCUCAAAAUUCUUGUCUUAGAUUUGUCUAAAUACGAAUGUAUUAAGUCACAUUUUAGUAUUAGAUACAUCUAUAUCUAGACAAAGCCACGACAAGAAUUUUGAGACGGAGGGAGUAGUUG